GGUUAAGCGACUAAGCGUACACGGUGGAUGCCCUGGCAGUCAGAGGCGAUGAAGGACGUGCUAAUCUGCGAAAAGCGUCGGUAAGGUGAUAUGAACCGUUAUAACCGGCGAUGUCCGAAUGGGGAAACCCAGUGCAAUUCGUUGCACUAUCGUUAACUGAAUACAUAGGUUAACGAGGCGAACCGGGGGAACUGAAACAUCUAAGUACCCCGAGGAAAAGAAAUCAACCGAGAUUCCCCCAGUAGCGGCGAGCGAACGGGGAGCAGCCCAGAGUCUGAAUCAGCUUGUGUGUUAGUGGAACGGUCUGGAAAGUCCGACGGUACAGGGUGAUAGUCCCGUACACCAAAAUGCACAGGUUGUGAACUCGAAGAGUAGGGCGGGACACGUGGUAUCCUGUCUGAAUAUGGGGGGACCAUCCUCCAAGGCUAAAUACUCCUGACUGACCGAUAGUGAACCAGUACCGUGAGGGAAAGGCGAAAAGAACCCCGGCGAGGGGAGUGAAAAAGAACCUGAAACCGUGUACGUACAAGCAGUGGGAGCACCUUCGGGUGUGACUGCGUACCUUUUGUAUAAUGGGUCAGCGACUUAUAUUCUGUAGCAAGGUUAACCGUAUAGGGGAGCCGCAGGGAAACCGAGUCUUAACUGGGCGUUAAGUUGCAGGGUAUAGACCCGAAACCCGGUGAUCUAGCCAUGGGCAGGUUGAAGGUUGGGUAACACUAACUGGAGGACCGAACCGACUAAUGUUGAAAAAUUAGCGGAUGACUUGUGGCUGGGGGUGAAAGGCCAAUCAAACCGGGAGAUAGCUGGUUCUCCCCGAAAGCUAUUUAGGUAGCGCCUCGUGAACUCAUCUUCGGGGGUAGAGCACUGUUUCGGCUAGGGGGUCAUCCCGACUUACCAACCCGAUGCAAACUACGAAUACCGAAGAAUGUUAUCACGGGAGACACACGGCGGGUGCUAACGUCCGUCGUGAAGAGGGAAACAACCCAGACCGCCAGCUAAGGUCCCAAAGUCAUGGUUAAGUGGGAAACGAUGUGGGAAGGCACAGACAGCCAGGAUGUUGGCUUAGAAGCAGCCAUCAUUUAAAGAAAGCGUAAUAGCUCACUGGUCGAGUCGGCCUGCGCGGAAGAUGUAACGGGGCUAAACCAUGCACCGAAGCUGCGGCAGCGACACUAUGUGUUGUUGGGUAGGGGAGCGUUCUGUAAGCCUGCGAAGGUGUGCUGUGAGGCAUGCUGGAGGUAUCAGAAGUGCGAAUGCUGACAUAAGUAACGAUAAAGCGGGUGAAAAGCCCGCUCGCCGGAAGACCAAGGGUUCCUGUCCAACGUUAAUCGGGGCAGGGUGAGUCGACCCCUAAGGCGAGGCCGAAAGGCGUAGUCGAUGGGAAACAGGUUAAUAUUCCUGUACUUGGUGUUACUGCGAAGGGGGGACGGAGAAGGCUAUGUUAGCCGGGCGACGGUUGUCCCGGUUUAAGCAUGUAGGCUGGUUGUCCAGGCAAAUCCGGAUAAUCAAGGCUGAGGUGUGAUGACGAGGCACUACGGUGCUGAAGUAACAAAUGCCCUGCUUCCAGGAAAAGCCUCUAAGCAUCAGGUAACAUUAAAUCGUACCCCAAACCGACACAGGUGGUCAGGUAGAGAAUACCAAGGCGCUUGAGAGAACUCGGGUGAAGGAACUAGGCAAAAUGGUGCCGUAACUUCGGGAGAAGGCACGCUGGUGUGUAGGUGAAGUCCCUGCGGAUGGAGCUGAGACCAGUCGAAGAUACCAGCUGGCUGCAACUGUUUAUUAAAAACACAGCACUGUGCAAACACGAAAGUGGACGUAUACGGUGUGACGCCUGCCCGGUGCCGGAAGGUUAAUUGAUGGGGUUAUCCGUAAGGAGAAGCUCUUGAUCGAAGCCCCGGUAAACGGCGGCCGUAACUAUAACGGUCCUAAGGUAGCGAAAUUCCUUGUCGGGUAAGUUCCGACCUGCACGAAUGGCGUAAUGAUGGCCAGGCUGUCUCCACCCGAGACUCAGUGAAAUUGAACUCGCUGUGAAGAUGCAGUGUACCCGCGGCAAGACGGAAAGACCCCGUGAACCUUUACUAUAGCUUGACACUGAACAUUGAGCCUUGAUGUGUAGGAUAGGUGGGAGGCUUUGAAGCGUGGACGCCAGUCUGCGUGGAGCCAACCUUGAAAUACCACCCUUUAAUGUUUGAUGUUCUAACGUUGGCCCCUUACCGGGGUUGCGGACAGUGUCUGGUGGGUAGUUUGACUGGGGCGGUCUCCUCCCAAAGCGUAACGGAGGAGCACGAAGGUUAGCUAAUCCUGGUCGGACAUCAGGAGGUUAGUGCAAUGGCAUAAGCUAGCUUGACUGCGAGCGUGACGGCGCGAGCAGGUGCGAAAGCAGGUCAUAGUGAUCCGGUGGUUCUGAAUGGAAGGGCCAUCGCUCAACGGAUAAAAGGUACUCCGGGGAUAACAGGCUGAUACCGCCCAAGAGUUCAUAUCGACGGCGGUGUUUGGCACCUCGAUGUCGGCUCAUCACAUCCUGGGGCUGAAGUAGGUCCCAAGGGUAUGGCUGUUCGCCAUUUAAAGUGGUACGCGAGCUGGGUUUAGAACGUCGUGAGACAGUUCGGUCCCUAUCUGCCGUGGGCGCUGGAGAAUUGAGGGGGGCUGCUCCUAGUACGAGAGGACCGGAGUGGACGCAUCACUGGUGUUCGGGUUGUCAUGCCAAUGGCACUGCCCGGUAGCUAAAUGCGGAAGAGAUAAGUGCUGAAAGCAUCUAAGCACGAAACUUGCCCCGAGAUGAGUUCUCCCUGAGACUUUAAGUCUCCUGAAGGAACGUUGAAGACGACGACGUUGAUAGGCCGGGUGUGUAAGCGCAGCGAUGCGUUGAGCUAACCGGUACUAAUGAACCGUGAGGCUUAACCUU
This 2902-nucleotide ribosomal RNA is filed under the name Klebsiella pneumoniae. Its description in RNAcentral is "23S ribosomal RNA". It matches the Rfam family "Bacterial large subunit ribosomal RNA". The record is from RNAcentral. Lineage: Bacteria; Pseudomonadati; Pseudomonadota; Gammaproteobacteria; Enterobacterales; Enterobacteriaceae.